CGACAUCCCUUUCCUUUCCCGAGCGGGGUAAUAGGAUCACAAUCCGCAUGGACAUACAUACAUACUUAGAGGCAGGCGGCUGGCAGAGGUUAAGGCCUGACUUCUGCUCCCAGUCGACCCAGACGACCCGGGUUCAAAUCCGCCUGCCGGCUCCUCGGGUGUUUGAGGAGUGAUGAAAUGGGAGGUGGGACCCCAUCAUAUGGACGGUGUAGGACGUGAUAAUAUCAACUUGCGAGCUGACCAGGAACUAAGUUGAUGCGCCGUUGAUCCGCUAGAUUUGGUUGGAUGCUGGUGGUGAGUUGCCGAACCCAACGAAUACAUUCUGAAGUCGGAUGGGGUGACGGAUUAGGGUGCCCCUCUAGCAGGGGAGAGCAGGGACUGCCCCGGGAAAGGGGGCCGCUGGCGAAGUUAACCACCCUGUAACUACAUACAUACAUACUCUAUAUCUUUGACUCACCCUUUCACUCCAUCAGUUCCACACAGGACCACAUACACGCACACAAGCUUAUUCCACAAAAGUAUGCGAGAUCGCGGCGCUACCACCCGGCGAGCUACCACCCACCAGCUGUUUUCUCCGCCGGACCGCCCGCCUCCAUGUAGACGUCCCACAGCGACACCUUGCCGGACUUGUCUGCGGCCGCCAGCGUCAGCCGAUCGCUACCUGGCAACCAGGCCAGAUGUGUGACACCAUCCUUGGUCACCUACGUACACAAGGUGUAUGUAUGUAUGUGUGUAUACAUAUCCACAUAUAUAUUCCAAAAGUACAAUCACAGUCACAAUCACAGCAAAACACACAUACACAGUGCAACGUCGUGCAUUCUCUCACUCGCCUGGGGGGUGCCUCUGGGGCAAGCCCUUGCCGCCAGCGGCAGCGGCAGCAGCCGCACCUUCCGCCUCCGCCGCCAGCGGGGCCCCCGGCAGCAGCACACCCGUCGACCUCUCGUGUUCGAUUCCUGCCGCCAGCUCGGCCGCCACGCCGCGUUGCCGUAGCGACAUCCGCAGCUGCUGCGGCUCCUGCAACCUCUCUCGACUCCUGUGUGAGAGGUGGGUGUGGUGUGGGACGUGGGUGAAGCGGUUGAAGCAAGGCAAGGCAAGGCCGCGAGUGUAGAUAGUUCGUUGGGUUGGUUAGGUGGUUUGGGUCGAUUUGGGUUUAUAUAGCUUGGUGGAGGUAGGUAUGUAGGUAGGUGAGUCCUGAGGUGAUGUGAGGGGAAAGACGACCCACAGACGAUAUUGAAAAGCCCGGCCUUCCCCGCUUGCAUCUCGCUAUCUGGCUGCAUGAGCCUGGGGCUGCAACAUGAAGGGACAUCUUGGUCCUGCCGCUGUUGCUCCUCCAUGACAAACAUAAUUCAUAUUAUGUCAUGCCGUUUCCGUUCCAUUGCGGUGUUGCCUCCUUAACUUUGAUGGCUGCCGUCGGGGUCAGAUGGCACACACUCAAUUUCGCAAAGUACGCAUCUCACUCGCGGAAUAUUUAGUACAAGCUUCCAUAUUGAACAAUUAGCGACGGUUGGCGUUGACAUCCUCAUGGUGGUCUCACCCCUUUCCAUAACAGUGUGAAUCAACGUAUUGCAUGCCCACUCUAUGAGGGCAGCUUAGAAUCAUGGCAUCAAGGAGGGCCGUGGCACAGGCCAUUCGCACAGAGGCCACCGGAGACGAGCUAAUGGAGUUGCUUGUUUUCGCGGCGCUCAUGCCCGAGACCCAGCUGACUGUCCUUCAGGAAGCUGAUACCAACAAGUUCAUUGUGCAAUUUGUGCGCCAGCUAAAGGCCGCAGGUGCGUUGCCCGAGGGCCCAGGUUCUUUCCUUUUCUGGAGGUGGUAAGCCUAGCGCCAGUCUAAACACAACACCUCCUGCUUAUUAAAGAGACUUAUCAUUAUUGUGAGGACACCCUUAACUUAGUCCGUAUGUAGGAAACAGGGGUUGUCAGACGUUUUGAUCCACAGCGGCUUGCCGAAGAGCGUUAUUGUAGUCCAUCCACCAUGUCUCUAUCCCUGCAAGAUAGACCUUCAAGGCCCCUAACCAAUCUGUAUGGUCAUCUGGACACCCCCUCACGGUUAGCAAGCUGUUUGUUCCUUUACUGGGCUUGAGUCUAACCCCUACUGUUGAGUUUCUAUUGACCUGUGUAUUGCAACCUUGUUUUUCUUGAGUCUAAGCCGUCUGGUUUUUUGGUAGCUGAUUGCCCUUCCGACUUUGUGCAUACUGAUCCCGCGAGAAUGCCACGAGCUUCUUCGCUACACUGCAUACCAUGCACGGUCUUCUGAACCGUUGGUCAGCUGUGUGUUCCUUUGCCAAAAGAGCACACCCCUGCUAUGUCGUGACAAAUGACCUAACUGUGUAAUGCACCCUCUUUUUCCCUGUUUGAUGUACAGGUGCGGCAACUGCUGCCCCGCCACCGGGUCCCAGCUCUGGUGAGUUCGCCUCAUUUUUAAGUUAACUUCUUGGAGCUGCUAUGUGUUAUAUCUUACUAAACCACAACUGGAUGGUGGCGUCGGAAGACACCGAUUGGAAGAGUUUCGCCCGGUUAAAUAGCGGAGGAUGCGGCCAUCCCAUGAAUCGUACAGCCAGUUCCGAAAAGGCACGGUCCAGUCCGGAAUGGCGUACCGUUGAUCCAUGCUUCCAAUCGAUGACGGGGCUCCAGUCGUAGCCUGUGCUACGACCCCGCCCAUACUUCUGCAAGUAUGGACUUCCGCCUGAGGCGGCGUUUACUUGUAGGCAUCCAUGACAGCGUCCCGCUCGCCGUCUGACCAGAGGUCGGAGCCAUAAAGAUCUGACAGAAAAAGCGGCAAAAUAGGCAGUUGGAAUUCAGUUAGUUCCAGCGAAUUUGUCCAGUAACCGCGCCAAGCGAGAAAGGAAAAAUUAGACAGAAAAAUGUAUCAGUUUGGGACCAGAUUUAAGAAGCGGAAUACAACAACUAUCCCCCCUCUAGAUGCAGCGUCCUCGAUGCAUGGCAAGAAACUGGCAGAGCAGAAAUCGGGCCAAAAACGUGCGGGAGUUAAAACACUUACCUUUAACCCGCAAAUCUUACCUUGCCCGUGCUCGUUGCCGUGCUUCUUCCAGCAGAGGUUUUAGGUCAGGGGUAAAGUUAGCUUCUGGUUCCCAACUGUUGUGCUCAGCCGAGUACCCAGCCCAUUUGACAAGAUACUCGUGCACAGUGCGCUUACGGCGGCGGUUUCUGCCUACUUUUCGGGAAUGGUAAUCCAGUAUCCGUUCAACCGCGUAAAAUGUCUGCUUGCCUGCAAGCCAAGUAACUGGUCCUGGCUCCGUGACAGUAGGAGCAGGUUUUGGCUGAAGCGCAGCAGCAGAGUCAGUAGUACGGAAAGGUCGGACUAGAGAGACAUGGAAUGUGGGGUGGAUGCGCAUGUCAGGUGGUAGUUGCAGCUCGACUGCAGUAGACCCAACCAUGCGAACGACAGGAAAUGGUCCCACCCAACGAGGUAAAAGCUUACGAGAACCAUCCGCUAAGGACCUCAGUGCUCAGCAUCACCAACUGCCCCUGCGAGAAGGUGAUGGCACGUCGGGAUUUGUUAAAGUAGCCCACCGUACGUUGCUGUGCAGCUUCAGGCAAGAUUUAGCAUCAGUCAGUCGGGACACAAAGGACUUGGCAAACGUCUUUGCUGCAGGCAAGUUGACAUCCAACUCCUGCCAAACAGGCAAGGCAGGGUUGUAUCCGUAAUUCAGGAAAAACGGACUUUUGCCAGUCGCGCGAUUCACAGCAUUAUUAAUCGUGAAUUCAGCAGCAGUUAGAUAUGUGUCCCAGACAGAAGGCGUACAUCCGGCAUAAUUGCGCAACAUAUCACCAAGAGUGUAAUUCGUACGUUCUGUCUGUCCAUCAGUCUGUGGGUGAUAGGCGGUGCUCAGGUUAACACGCAUGCCUAACAGAUCACCCAGGGUGCCCCUAAAUCUGCUGGCAAAUUGCGAUCCGCAGUCGGUCACAACAUUCUUGGGGACACCAUGCAAACGCACUAUGUUGACAACAUAGUGCCAAAGAACAGACGUGCAGUUUGCUCAGCUGUGCAGGAUGAUACCGUAGGUGCCAGGUGCACCAUUUUCGUGAGUCGGUCUACCAUGACCAAAACGGCAUCGAAUCCUCCCUCAGUUUUGGGCAAAGCUACAAUAAAGUCCAUGGUAACACUUUCCCAAGGGGCGGCCGGCACAGGCAAGGGACACAGGAGGCCGUGGGGCUUACCAGACAGGACUUUAUUGCGUUGACACAGCUCACAGUUUUGGACAUAGUUCUCGGCGUCCUUAGCCAUCCGAGGCCACCAGAAUUGACGAGAACCUCGACCAGAUGGGUGCAGCCAGGGUGCCCAGCCAGCGGGUCGUCAUGAAAACGUGACAGGAGAUCAUGAUGCAGCAAGUCAUCAUUCGGAACGACAACCUGCCGAAAAGUACCCUCAGUGCGGAUCCAAAGGCCACUGUUACGGGUUAAAUGGCCAGUAUUGUGGUUAUCGGAAAACCAGGGAUCCGUGGCAUAGGCAGCUCGGAGUCGUUGCACAAGUUCAGAGGGCACAACGGGUGCUGCAGCACGGUUGCUGUAACGACUGACAGAACUACUGCAUGCAGACAAGGGUGCCGACUUAAGGCAUCAGCAAUGUGAAGGAUGCCUUGCAGGUAUUCCCAUGUGAAGUCAAACCGGCUAAGGUAUUCCAUCCACCGGGCUUGACGACGAUUAAGGGUAGGCACGCCUUGCAGAAACAUUAGGGGUUUGUGGUUGGUUUUAAGGGUGAACAGCCGACCCUCCAGAUAACACCGCCACUCCUUAAGCGCGUGCAGUACAGCAAGAAGUUCUUGUUUCCCAGUGGUAUAACGGGUUUCAGCCCCCGAGAACUUCUUACUAGUAGAAGCAAUUGGUCUCCCGUUUUGCAGCAGUACUGCUCCCGUACCAUGUAAAGAUGCAUCAGUUACGACCUCCACACGGAAAGGUUGGGAGUAGUCCAGGAAACGCAGAAUGAUGUCUUCAGAGACAACACGCUUAAGUGUAUCGAAUGCUUGCUGGCAGUCAGGACCCCAGCAGUCAGGAGAUACAAAAGCCCCUUUUCGUGCCAGAUUUGUCAGAGGUGCAGCAAUAAUGGCAUAGCGUUCGAUGAACUUACAGAAGUAGUUCGUCAGCCCCAAGAACUUCCUUAGUUCUUGCAAAUUGGUCGGGGUAGGCCAGUUCCGCACCGCAGCAGUCUUUCGGGGGUCCAUGCGGAUGCCAUCCUUGGAGACGAUGUGACCAAGGUAUUCGACCUGAGGCUGGGCCCAGUGGCACUUAGAACGCUUGGCAAACAGUUGCUCACGCUGCAAAAUUUCAAAGACCAGCCGUAAAUGCUCCAGGUGCUCUUCACGUGUCUUUGAAUAGACCAGGAUAUCGUCUAGGUAGCAAACGACAAAACAGUCUAUGUAGGGCCGAAAGGUUCGGUCCAUCAGGGCUUGGAACGUGGCAGGAGCGUUCGUCAAGCCGAAGCUCAGCACAGUAUACUCAUAAUGACCAGAGGGCAUAGGAAAUGCAGUUUUCGGAAUAUCUGAUUCAGCAAUACUGAUUUGAUUGUAACCCUGCUGUAGGUCAAUAGAGCUAAAGAAAGCCGAGCCAUGCAGUCUAUCCAGUAGAUCAUCAACCUGUGGGAUAGGAUAGCGAUUUUUAAUGGUGGUCGCAUUUAGACCCCUAUAGUCUAUGCACAUACGCAGAGUCCCGUCCUUUUUACCCACAAAUAAAAUGGGAGCAGAGUACGGGGAUGUGCUGGGUCGAAUUAUACCUUUCCUCAGUAGGUCGGCUACCUGUCGUGUCACCUCAUCCAGCUCCAGGGGGCUGAGGCGAUACAUGGGGCGUGAAACAGGCUGCGCACCAGGAGCCAAAGGUAUGGUAUGAUCUACCGGUCUCAUGGGGGGAAGUCCAGGGACCUCACGGAAGAUAUCUGAGUAUUCGUUAAGGGCUUCAACCGCAGGGUCAUUUUCAGUGAUCUGGGUGACGGCUGUAUUCAGUUGCAAUUUAGGCCGUACUAGCAAUCCAUGCACCCCCUUGCGAAUCAUACAGAUAGCUGCUUUGUGCCCAACGGGUUCAGGCUCAAUUCGCUUACAGAUAGCGGCAGCAGCAAAAUUCACACAGGGUUCGGAGUGCGCAGCACUAGUAUUCCCUUCUCCCAUCCGUUCCGCAGUGGUGAAAGGCGCCUUAUAACACAAGGUUCCCUUCCGCAACUGCAAGGUGUGGGCCUCAUAAUUCAGAUGAGCCCCAUACUGAUCAAGGGUAGCGGACCCUAAGAUAAACGUGGCUGCAUCAGUAAACUUAGGCAGCACAUAUGGACGGACAUUUAGGUGCAAAGGGCCCAAGGAUAUACGAAGGGAAACUUGACCCAAAAUGACCUGCUUACCCCCGUCAGCAAGGGUGACAGAUGACCACGAUGCGGUUGAGGUUUCAGUCCGAGUUGCUCAAUGAUGGACGCAGAAAUGAAGUCGUCGCUGGCACCAGAGUCGGCCAUGGCAGUUAAAGAAUGUCCAGCGACACGAAUGCCAAUUAACGGGACUCUGGGCCCUGUUGACGCAGCAACUUUUGCACACAGGACUGAAACAUGGGGCUCCGUGUCAAGGUGCCCCAGGACAAGAGGGGGAUCGUACCAAACGUCAGCAGUAUAUGGCAGACCUGGAAGGGAAACAAGUUGACCCGUCAUGUCUACACCGUUGAAAAGCUUGCUACCAGCACGAAACUGAAGAACCCGACGCAUCCCUAUCAGCAAGGAGGCAGCCCUCGGGGAUACAUGUGCUGGUAACAGGAGACAGGCAGCAGUGUCCGGUCGUUGACGUUUGCAAAUACGAUAGUAAGCCAGCUGAGACUGAAGUUCCUUGAAAGAGGAAGGGGAAAUCCAAACGGUAUGCCCACCCAAGUUACUAGAGGUUAGACGCCGUGGAAUAGCAAACAGAUUACAGUGCUCGUCAAAACCAGGACGAGCAGUACGAGCGUCAAACGAAAAACGCCGUCCAACGGCCUUCUCAACUUGGUUGAAUAUGGCCGGUAAAACAGCACGGACGUGCUGUCCAACCGGGCAGAUAACGGGUACCGUUUGGUUUUGUAACCCAGGGAGUGCUUCCCUAAUACUGUCCUGGGCAACCCCCUAUUUUUCCACGUUCCUAGCUCUCUUCUCUGAAAGCAACGGGCACUCCGCUACUAGGUGCUUGUCCUCCCCACAGCGGAGGCAACGGCUAUUUUCCGGCGGUACUCGUACUCCGCCCGAGUGCAGUAAAACUUAUUCAUCCAUUCGGCCGGAUUCGAAUCCCGGCCACGCUUGCCUAGCACCAUCGUCCCUGUUCCCGCGGCAGCGGCCCUGGGCCGACCCUUGUCCCUAUGCUUGCCACCCCGACCCCUGCGCCCACGGUUCGACUCACCAGCACCGGAGGCCUGGCGAGCUGUAUUCCGCCCAGCGGCAACAGUAGCAGCCCGAGGCCUGACCUCCGGUGCCGGGAGGUCCCUGUCAUCAGUGAUGAUGGGCGCGGGAUCCUGCACAACGGUGGAAGCAUGCAGAAGCACGCGGGUUUGGGCUUGAGAACGAAGUUUAGCAAGUUGACGGGCCUCAACACCAAGUGUGUGCUGCACAAGUCUUGCAUAUUCCUGAAAAGGCUUACCAUCACGGUCGGUCGCACAUUCUCCUGAAAACUCAGCGGAAAAGCCGCAGAUAAACCAGAAAAUCCGAUCAACCUCCCUUAAGUCAGGAAUGGGUGCUAUGAGUGCCUACCGUUUCGUUUGCCCGCAUCUGAUGCUGCCCAGCAGCAAGCUUUUCUAGCGCUUCUAGUUAGCGUGUUAGAAUCUGCGGGGCAAAACGAAUUAAUAGCGCCUCCAAAAGUUGCUCUGAAGUAUAUUGCAACCGUGCGUUAGUCCAGUCAUCAUGCCAGGUUUUCGCGGCGCCUUCAAGAGUGUUAGCUAAAAAUAAGCAACAGAUACUGUCAUGAUUUCCGCCCUGCACGUAAUCAAAAUACUUCCGGACAUUGCGGCGCGGACUCGUGGUGCAACUUCCCGCGAUAAUUCACUAAGCUUAAUAUCUGCAGGAAUACUGAGCCUAGGUACCGGAAUAUUAAUUCUGAUCACCUCAUCACUAGCCCCAGUGGGCAAGCCGUGCUCAGUAGCGACAUUAUUCCUUCCAUCGCCGGCGGUCGUCCCGGUGGUGCGACCCGUGAUGUGUUCCACUGCAGGAAUCGGAACAUCGGAUGAGGGAUUAUUCAUAUUUAUCAAUAGGUUACUGUUAUUCAGGGCAAUAGGCGGCGGCGGGACAGUUCCAUUGGUCAUAUCGAUAGCGGAGGGCAAUCCCCAACGACUUCGCCUACACUGCUCCAUUUCCAACUAUCCUGACCCAGAUCAGGCAGACCGCGUACCCAAGUAAAGAGAACUGUCAAUUUUUCUGGAAGUCUGUUCUAGCACCAAACGGGUGCUGCGAAGCUCUUGACAGAGCCUCCGGCAAAGGGCAGGGACCGCCGAAGGAACUGGCGGUUCGGAGCCUGCAGCAGUCUUACCGCUAUUAACCCAAAAUCCUAGAGAAAGUCAGCAAACAGAUUUGUACUUUACAGACCGGCGGCAGCGACUUCGCGGACAGCAUCGCCAAGAGUGUCGACGAUUGUAGCCAAAGGUCCGGUGACAUCGUCGACCUCCAUCCGUGCGCCGGUAGAAGUGGGGAUCUUGAUGGCGAAAGGGGGAUCUUGAAAAUUUCAGAAAUGCGAGAGGCCCCGGGAGGAACCGUCUCGAUACCAGACUUGUUAUAUCUUACUAAACCACAACUGGAUGGUGGUGUCGGAAGACACCGAUUGGAAGAGUUUCACCCUGUUGUAGCGCCUUAUAGCGUUACAGAACUUAAUCACUGCGUGAUUAAGGCAUGGCUUGAUAAGACUGAGCUACGAACAGUCUACGAAUAUCUUAGAGUUCAGACGUGCGUCCUUACCAAGGAAUGACACGCACUUGAGAUACCUACAGACUCAUCGGUUCGAGCAACCAAUGUAGAUCUGAAGAGACGUCGUACAAUAGAAGUUGUUACGGCCUCCUAAGCAACGAGUAUUUAUACUCGGGAGGAAGCCUGGGAUUAGACAUCCAUCCAUCCAUCCAUCAACAAUCUAACAAUACACCAGUGAGAGAGAUACCAGAAGCCUACGCUUCUGAUGCUCCUUACUGAGGAACGAACCCAGUCCUUGACGGAGCGAAUCCGUCCUGUAACCUGUCGGCUCUCGCCGCUAUAUCACGCGCUAACACGCCCGCUUAAAUAGCGGAGGAUGCGGCCAUCCCAUGAAUUGUACAGCCAGUUCCGAAAAGGCGCGGUCCAGUCCGGAAUGGCGUACCGUUGAUCCAUGCUUCCAAUCGAUGACGGGGCUCCGCAAGCCAGGGACCAGCAUCCCAGUUGUAGCCUGUGCUACGACCCCCGCCCAUACUUCUGCAAGUAUGGACUUCCGCCUGAGGCGGCGUUUAAAUGUAGGCAUCCAUGACAGCGUCCCGCUCGCCGUCUGACCCAGAGGUCGGAGCCAUAAAGAUCUGACAGAAAAAGCGGCAAAAUAGGCAGUUGGAAUUCAGUUAGUUCCAGCGAAUUUGUCCAGUAACCGCGCCAAGCGAGAAAGGAAAAAUUAGACAGAAAAAUGUAUCAGUUUGGGACCAGAUUUAAGAAGCGGAAUACAACACUAAGCUUACUAUCCCCAUUUCCUUACAGUAGAUAGUGAAGCGCUAACAGAUUUGGCAGUGUUGUGGCUCUGGCCUGCCUAUCUACCUGCAUGCAAAGAAGGCUCAGAGCGCCCAUCUAGCUAUGUAUCCUGCCUCUUGUUCGCCCCUUUGGUUGCAUGACAUUUAAGGGGGCUGAUUCCUUGGUAAUCACAACCUAGGGAAAACCCGGGGAAUUAGUUCCUACACAUACAUAUGCGGCCUCUCUCUGGGUGAUGCUAUAUAUGAUUACUCUGGAUCUGUGUGUGUGUGUGUGUGUUACAUGGUUGGGGGGUGCGUGACCCCAUACCUGUAAAACUACCCAUACGAGCCGAAGGCCCAAGGGCAUUACCUGAACGCCUAAAAGCUGUGGAGAAAAGGAAACACCGCACUAUCAGCCCAGACUAGCACCCAAACGGGAUAACUGAGUUGCGAUGAGUCAACAUACUCUGGAUCUGGAUAGGAGAGGGUGGUAAUGUGUUACCAGGGGGAUAAACCCAGGCAGCUGUACCUGCAUGAGGUGGCUGGGUAAUAUAUUAAAUAUCGGAUCUAACAUGCAUUGGCUUGCGUUCCCUGAUCCUCCCCCAUCUGCAGGUGUGGUGGAAUUUGGAGCCAGCGGUGAGUGCAAUAUAUGAGGCCCGUGAUGCUGUGUGUUGCCUUUAAGCAGGGAUUGAGUGCUAAUGCCGUGUUGUGCUCUAUCUGCAGCUAAAUAUGAAACUGACACAAGUUACCGCUACAUCCGCGAGAUGCUGCCAUCACUGCCAUCACGGCUAUCACUGGGCUCUGUGCAGGCUGCAACAGACCUCAAAAGCUUCCUGGAAGGGCCCUUGGCUCGGAAGCUGCCAGUGCACAAAAGGCUUGGCAUCAUCCAGCAGAAUGCCGACAUCAUGGACUACAUCAACCUGGACGAAGAUGCCGUUAAAACUGCACAUGCUCUGUCGACCAUUGUCGAAUUGGCACUCAUCGGGGGAUCUGCAGGCGGCACAUCAGAGUAUAAAACUGCCUUCCAGGUUGCGCUUGUCGUGGAUAUGCCGCUUGAGCUCGCCGCAUGUGCCCUCAACCUGAACGUGUCUCAGGACCGCAACGUGAUGGACACAUCUGGUGCCACAGGUAGGUUGGUGGACUGCUAUGAAGAGGGAUGCAACGAAAUCUUUCUCGACUACUUCCCCUUUUCCCCUUUGAUGUCCUGAUGUCCCCAUUAACCACCCCACAUAUUUUCGGGUCAAUAGUGCAUAGCUUUGGCGCCAUAGUCGCCCACAAUGAGAGUUCUGGUUGCUGCACUGAUCUGUUUCACGGCCCCGCACUCCUGGUGGUGUCUGUGUGCCUCAUCGCCCCCUGAGACCACAGUUCGACAGAAACGGCCCGACUAUGUCUGCUGGCUGAAUAACGCCCUACUAUUUAAGGGCGAGGAUAAGGCAUCGGCAUCAGGCAUGCCGGUAGGACUUAACCUGGGUGGGCAUAUGCAAGCAAAGUUAGCAUAACCCUGUAGCGCCCCUGAGCCCCUUGACCCCUGCUCCUUUCCUUUCUGCCACAUGUUCAAAGGUGGCCAUUGAAGAGCUAUCGGACAAGAUGGCACGCACGUGGUACGUGGUGGUGCAAGCACAACAGCAAGUAUGAGAGCCGUGGGGCUGGUCUGAUGCUUGUCAUGUUCACCCCACCAGGAAGCCAGAGCUGCUGCCUGGCGUCAGCAUGCCAUGCAUGAUAGCCUACGCGGCCGCUGGUACCAUGCUCCAGUUCUUUUCCAUCCGGAACAGGUAUGGAUAAAGUAUGAGGGCUCUAAGCGACGUCGGACAGGGUCAUCCUACAAUAGAUAGCACUGAGAAAUUGACGAAACAUAUGUUUAUUGUAUAGGUUGGUCUACAGAACGUGCCAUGGUACAACAGAUCUGCCUGGCAAUAGAUGGUCUGUAGUCACUCCUCAAUAUAUAGAUGCACCUACACUCAUGUCCAUAGGGAAACUUCUGCCCCCUGUGCCUGACAGUGUUCUUUUUUUCUUCCAGUGGUAAAGUUGAAGUUAGCCCAAUCAGCAGUCUCUACGAUCUGAGCACGCCCUUGGGGCGCAUCCGAGCCUUGCACUGCACAUUCAACAUCGUGCGCCUGCUGGCGUCGUACGCGCCACACUCACCUAAGAUUCCGGUCGCCCUCGGAAGCAAGCUUCAAUCCAAGGGUCCUCGUGGAGAGCUCCUCCGUACUGUCAGAUUCUUUGAAGGUGCUGCAGGGUUGCAGUCAUGUAGACACUGGCAGCAUAAUUCGGCCUAAUGAAACACGCUGUAUGUACCUGUCUUGCAGAUUUUGUACAGAAGCGUGUCUAUGAUUUCGAGGAGCGGCAUUCUGGUGUUAACGAUUUCAGCCUUCUCAAGGUACACAUCACCUGCCGGGCCCUGCACAGUCAGCAUGGUGUUCUACAUAGCAUGCUGACGUGCAAACCUCUGGUUACAUGACCCAUUCACAGGAGCUGUACACCAAUGCCGCACUGGUGCAGUGCCCAAAUCUUGUACGGCUCCACUCAUCCAAUGACAUGGACGCCAUCCACCUAGACGGCCAGACGCUGGUGCUGCACUUGGUGCCCCACGGCGUGCCGCAGUAUGGGCCGCCCGGGGACGAGGCCAGCCUUAAGCAGGCGAUUCGGGACGUGCUCACUGGCAUUGAGUCGCUCCAUGCAGCAGGUGUGUGUGUAUCCACUGAUGGCGAGGCAGGUAUUGCUGCUAUUGAUAAACCUGCUAUUGGUAUUGCUGCUACUGGUAUUGCUGCUCAAGGUUACCACUACUCGCUGGCCUUAUGAUUUUCCUCGUGCAGGCUUCGUGCACCGGGACAUUCACUGGGGCAAUGUGAUCAUGGUGCCAGGCUCAGCACCCAACAUGGCGGAUAGGUUCAUCCUGAUGGACUUGGAGCACGCCGGUGGGUGGCUUUUCAAUUACAGCCCAGUGGUUUUUUCGUUAGGGCCUGAAGGUCCCUUUUUAUUACUUAUCAUCAAGUAUUAGAUUUCCAGGGUUUUGUGCGGUUUACUACUUAGCUGUGAGGCGCUGGGGGGGCCUCCGGGGGCCCCAGACUCCCCCACAAGUUACAACUAGUCCGCUCACAAACUCACCAUCGCCGGUGUGUGACCGACAUUAGCACCAGUGUCCCAACAGUGUUAACAACAGUGUCACUAAGAGUAUUUCUUAGUAAUUUUGCUGCUUUGCUGUUUUUCCUUGGCCUGUGCAUAUUUUGCUGUGUUUGAACAGUCAUAUACGCUGCUAUGCCGCGUUGACUCAUGGGCGUGACCUUCCAACGACCAUCCAUGGCCCCUCAUUGCAUUCUAUAAAUUCAGAUACUAUGUUUCCGAACUUAAGAGCUGUCCGUCAUUUUUGGAUGAAGUAAUGAAAAUGUACGAGUCGGCCUCGACUUAAUUGGAAUGUAUUACUACUGUUAGUGUUACAGCCUCCAGGCACAGGGUCGUCUCCUGUCUAGGUAGGUAGCAGACCUUACCGCAGUAUCGUCGUUUUGUCCACUGCUCCUGCCUUUCGUCAUGAUGAGGGGUAAAAUAAUGCCCACGUCCCGUCGCUGUGCCAACAGGGCGGGCUGACAGCUCUCAGGACUGCCGCCAGUCACCCUUCCCCCUGGCGACGUGGCCGGAGUUCAACCCCAUCCUGGAUUCGGUGGAUGGCCGCUACACUCGCGCGUCGGACCUCUGCCUCGUGUCGCACUGCCUUCUGGCCUACCUGCCCUUCGAGCUCAGCGCCAGCGGUGUGGCCUUCAAGCGCGCACUGUCUAACCGGGAGCUGGAUGCUAGGGGCGCACUGGCGCACGAGUGGCUUGCGGGGGUAUGACUGUAAGACGUGUUGGCCAUGGAGCAGCCCACGGAUAGCAAGGUAAGCAGGUGGGCUCGUGCAAUGUCACCACCUAUGUAUGUCUGUCCUCAUAGCUGCAGGCCCCACAGUCCCCAUUCAUGGUACACGUGUGAUGAGGCAUGUACGGGAUCAGCACACGAUUGUGCUCCUACUUGUCGACUGUCUUCCCACUCGUCUCAAGUUGACUUCUUCCUCUCACUCCCUGCUACAGCGGCAACGAGGCACGGGAUGUGGAAGCUGCUUUUGGUUUGGUACAACCAUGCACGCGGACACCGGGAAAUGCUGGGAGGUGGCUGCUAAUGUCGUACCAUCCAAAUUGCUUUAGUGGGUAUUGCGUUUGGGCCGACUCGCAAUGGUCAGGGCAGGCCGGGAUGGGUUGGGGGGUCGGUGAUGGAGACCCAAGCACGUGGAGCAAAGUGCCAGGGAGAUGCUGAAGACGUCGGCGCAGGCGGGGGAGACAACGAAAGGCCUUGCGGGUGAUGGGUGUUAUCGAAGACGUUGGCGAGUAAGGCAGAGUGGCAGCAGAGCGGCUGCAUCCGCGGCUGUUGGUGCUAGCCGCGGCUGAAUGCAGGGGCCCUGCAGCUAUUAGCGCGGCUAGGGCCUGGUCUCACCUGGCGGGUUAUGCGACUAGAGGUUGAGCUGAGCACCGAGAUGGAAAGGGCGAGGCAUGGGGUUUGGGUGGCGCACACGGAAAGGUGCACACGGGAGCAACCUUAGUUGAUUGAGUUAUGGGAGGGUGGAUUCAUUUGGGCCGAGAUUAGCAGGGUGCCAUGUGGCAGGAUAGCAAUAAUUCAUCUGGUAAGAAGAAGGCAAGUAGUAGGAUUCCUUGUUGUAGCUGUAGGUUUGCUGGAGAGUUGAUAUUGCAGCUGGACGUGUGGACGCCGUACACUUGACUGCAUCUCUGCACGACGUCCUCUGGCGCUGCCGUAGUCCCUGUGCCCUCAUGACCGCAUGCAAGGAAGAGGAGAGAUAUAGCUGCGUAAAGAGCGAAGUGGAGAGCGCUGUAGGGAACGAAGUGGCUUUUUUGUACCGCCGCAAGGAGACACAUGUUGUUGAUCGCGAGGACGGCUGGCACCUGCCUGACAUGGGGGUGGUGGUGGGAAACCUGCUCAGCCAUGUCCGACCUGUACGACGUUCAAUGAAAAAUGUGGUAUUAAUACAUGGCAGUGCAGGCGACGAGGAGGGUGGCCGGUGAUCGGCCGGCGUUGUGAAUGUUCAAGUCCAAAGGUAGGUGGGUGGGUGUGUUUUGUGUGCUGAAGAUUGCUGGAGAGCGAUUUUCUUCAUCCCCCCAUCCCUUCUGGGGCGUAUUUCCGCGUGUAUACGGCCCUCCCUGUACAUGAUUUAAAGACGGGGUUAGGCGGUUCGUCGCCGCCCUCCCCACACACACACGCGAGGGGGGAGAAAUGAACUUUUUGCAGACGGCUGGGCGGAGGGCUCGGCUCAGUGCGUGUUGGGUUCCGCCAUUUGCGUGCGGAGAGGGCGGGGUUGCAGCACAGCUGAUGUCGUACAACAAGAUGACGAGGUGGCGUCGCUCCUCUUCGUUGGGUGCUGCGAUGGCGAUGGUGUUCCGCGAUGUGGUGUCGGUAACUGCAGCGCUAGUGGACGGCAGCCGUCGUGUGCUCGACAUUGAAGUUGCACUUGAUGUGCAGGAAGGGGAGGAGGUGGCGGCGGCGGCGGAGGGGGCGCGAGUGAUGAUGGUUUCCUUCUGUUGAAUGGUAGCCCCUGUUUGUGGUAAUUUCCUUUAUACGCCUGAUGUUGUGAGCAGCUGGGUUUGAUCUGAGGGUUUGGUCUGAUCUGUCCGGGUGUUGUCGGGGAAGAGAUCUUUUGCCUCCCCUUAUCCGUUCCCCGGAUGGCCUCGCUCGUUCUGACAACAAUAGCGCAGGUGUUCAGUUUUUUGGUGCGUUCGCGUUGUAGUGCAUGAUGGUAAGUACCCUAUGUUAAACCUAAGAACACCAAGGAAAAUGUUUCGUUGGAACAGCAUGGUAACUGUGAGACGAAUUACGAAAAACGUAACAUGAUAUGGCAAUGGCGAAAAAACAGCGCCCGCCUCCUCGUCCUCCUCCUUGAGGCUAUCUCGCACCACGAGCCUCAGCGUGAAACAAAGCAAAGGACCUGUUGACACAAGGGAGCUGACAGACGCUGCCUGCUCUCGCCUGCCACGCAGAGAACCCUCCCCCUCUAUGCUAGAGAACCGUCCCCCUCCCUCUUCACACCUCUUUCCCUCCACCCUUCACCUCAGGUAUAUGGGAUGAUGGCAGGUGGGGGGUUAGGAUAGCCAUAGCUGCGUCGGCGAUGGCAAUGGGCUCCGGGGUGUUGGUUAGUAGCCGCACAGGUCAGCUGGUCGAGUUAGUUGCUGAUGCCGGUAGCAGUUGGCAGUUGGUGCCAGUGUAUGUGUUAAUUAAGAUAAUUCUCCUCCUCGCUGCAUACAAUAUGUACUUACAGGUCAUGGACAUGCACACGCUUUCAUAUACACCUCCCGUCGUACAAUCAGGCCACACACUCCUUCGAAGAAUACGUCAACCACUGGCAGUUACAAGCCGUACGAUUCCAUGAUUUGGUGUCGUGGAGUAUGACAUCGGUGAUUCGAGAGGGGGGAAUGACGGCACCGCCAUCUCCUGUAAUGUGGAGUUUGACAAUCCUAAUGGCCCAACUGGCCCAUCUAGCCCCACUGACAUGCUGCUCCGAAGCCACGGUUCCAAAUCCGCGCGAAAUAUUGAUAAGGACAGCUGCGAGGUAUCCUCUCACGUCUCUUGAUAACUUUAUUUAUUCUGUUGGUCCCGCCAAUCCAACCUGGAAGGACGCGACCUACGUUUUUGCUUUGUAACUUCUUUAGUGGUGGAGUUGAAUCCUUGGCAUUGCUUAGUGUGUUUCAGCAGGCUAAAUAUACCUGCUUGGCGUUUGGAAGGUUUCUUGCUUGAUCAGCAGCUCGGACCGUGGGUCACAGCUGGAGUGCGAGCAAGGAGGUUUGUCAUAGUGAACCAAUAGCUAUGGUAAUAGUGUUUCAUAGCUUACUAUUUCCAUAUACCGAAAGCUCUCUCAAGGAUUUAUUGCUCGCGGAGGACCGUUUGCACUUCCAGCCCUGACGUUCAAGAUCACUUUAGAUCACUUGCCAGAGCCCAGAAGACGCACUGCGGUACAAAGCUACGAUUAUCAUAGAUUAUUUAUAUUGUCUAGUGCACAUAGUACUUCUAGAUAUCUUUUAGGCAAGAUGCUUGUCGCACGGUCCAGCAGCAUUGCGUCUUCUCGGUCGCGGUCCGCUCGGCGACCAACCCGUUCAGCGGUGGUGGUUCGCGCCGAGCUGCCCCGAUGGCCUCUCAUCUUCAAGGCUCUGACGAAUGCGAAGAUCGAAACCGUUUCACCUGAGGAGGCAAAGGCUCGCAUUGACAAUGGUAUGACCUCACAUGGGUGCCCUGGGUUGCUCCGUAAGCUGAAACGAGCGGAUUGACUGUUAUAGAAUGUCUCAUUCUUUAAACUUGCACUUUGGAUCCUUGAAAUACGGUGUUUCGUGGGAGAUCUUUUUAGGGCAAAACUAUCGGUCUUCGCUUUCCUGCGUCCGGCUCCUGCACAUCAUUACAUGUUUUCUUGCUCUCCAUAAAAUGCCCUGCGCGUCUCAUAUGUCGAUUGCGUGCGUUCUUGCAGCAUGCAACACCUUACGUCGCAAUUGCAGUAGAGUCAGACUUAAAAAGCACUUCCUGCUCUCCCGGACCAAUAAUUACGCGUGGUUCAGGUUCCUGGAUCCUGGUUGAUGUUCGGCUAAAGGAGCAAUAUGAGGCGGGCCAUCCAGAGGGUGCUGUCUCUGUGCCAAUCUACGAGGUAGGUCAACAUAGAGCAUGAGCUUCCAGAAAGCCAAGCUCGCGGCCCCGACCAACGCACGUGAAUCACCAUAAUGAACGGAUCGUCAACAACAGCAGCGGCUAUUGGACCGGAACAAGAGGAUUACUCAAAGUUGUGCUACAUUGUUCCGAGGAGCCGGCUGAGCUGAAGCAGCAAUUCAACGCAAUCCUCUUCCCCUAGUUGGGGCCCCAAGCCCUGCGCGCUUGUAACAACCCCCCGGCCCAGUUUAUAUCUGGUACCUGCUUCACUCGUCCGUGGUUCACCUUCACCCCGCAGCCCCACGGGCCCUAUCUCCCGGGCCCCCCCACACACACAUCUGGUAUCUGCUCCAUUUACCAGUGUUUCGUCUUACACCCCCACACACACAUACAAACACGGCAAACACCAGGAUUCUGGUCUGGAUCCAGAUGUGGAUCUAGGGAUGUAAGAUCGUACCUGUGUCUGGAUCUCGAAGUGGGUCAUGCCCGUGAUGCGCCAGCUUUCGAGGGCAGCCCCCCUGGAGCCCCUGGCAUCCUUGGCAACCGACCGGCUUGUGUGCACCCUUCUGUUCCCCUUUUACCGUCCAGACUAUUGAUCUGCAGGGGGCUGAUAUUCGAAAAAUGUUGAAGGCGGUGAUGUACAAGUGAGUUGCGUGAAACUGAUUUUUUUUCAAGUACAACACGGAAAUGUUUUUUACUUAAAAGUAUAUGUCGUUUUGUUAUAAAAAAAUCGGUGGAGGGUUUCUUGCACGAGAUUGGGAAGAGCCGACCUGGGUCACCUCCGAUUCCUGUCCCUGGAUCUGGGAUUUUUGGAUCCGAGCCAGGAUCAGAAUCUGGAUUUGAGCUGGGCUCACAGUCGCGAGUUUUUAAAUGGGAGGCAUGUUCUGGACACCUACACAAGUAAGGCAACCAUCCCACACGACAACGCCCCAUCCCUACUCCGAAACUCCGUACUCCUCUUCCCACGACUGCCGUACCAUUCCAACCUUCUGCAAUCCACGGCGUACCACCGCUCGCCGUCGUAAUACUCUCACCCCUAUUUGUCGUACAUGCCGUACAUCCAGGUCCAACGGCGUCAACCCCGUGGAUCCCAACCCCGCCUUUGCGGAGCAGCUCAAGGCGGCCGUGGCGGCCAGGGGUGGUACGGCAGCCGUACAGGGGGUGAUUACGUGCUGCGAGGCGGGCGGUACGUUGAAACCGUCAACUAACUUCCCUGAGGGCAAGCCGAGUCGUUCUCUACAGGCCGCUUACCGGGUCAUGACGGAGCGUCUGGCGCCCACUGUGGCCCAUCUGGGUGAGAAAGCGGGCGGUGAAUAUAUGUAUUAUGUAUGUAUGUAUGUAUGUUGCUCUGUAGCUAUGUAUGCAGCUAUGUAGGUAUGUUUAUUGUUCGGAUGCCAGGUCUGCCAAAUGGCGGGAGAGGUGUGCUCGGGGGCCCUAUGUAGCAGGGCAGAAGGCGCGACAUGGCCCGUGGCAAGGGGGUUAUACCUGGCACCGCCGCCUAGAAGGGUGCAAACCUCUAAACCUUUCCCCCCUUUCCCCCCUUUUCCCCCGGUGGGUGUCUAUCUUGUGUGUGUUUUGUGGGGAUGGGGUUUCUCCUACAGAGCGUGGUGUGUUUGGUUGGUACCAGGCGAAUUUACCAAUGGAGGGCGACUACACGCCGGACAUUGGUCGUACCCCAAUGGUGAGUGUACGGCUGUACGGCGUGGGGGCUGCAAUGCUAUGGGGAGUUGUGCGCUUUGGGUGGUUAGCUGAGGUGUCAAAGACCCCUCUUUUCCAUUCGCUUGUGGUAUCUUUUAAAACACAGCGGCCCCCGACUCUCCUACUCACCCCGCUGCGUUAUGGAGGUCUGGAUACCCGCGCCCUGUCGAGCUUAAAUGGCGUUGUGUAUAGUUGUCUUUAUUUUCCCCUCCUUUCCUCUCCUCGUCUGUAUAGUUGUCUUUAUUUUCCCCUCCUUUCCUCUCCUCGUCUGUAUAGUUGUCUUUAUUUUCCCCUCCUUUCCUCUCCUCGUCUGUAUAGUUGUCUUUAUUUUCCCCUCCUUUCCUCUCCUCGUCUGUAUAGUUGUCUUUAUUUUACUCUCCUCCCCUCCUUUCUACCCCCCCUUAACAGCUUGGUAUCCAAUUGAUCGGACAUCCCGGGUACGGAUGAUGUGGAAACGAGAUUGCUGUGUGAGCUCCCUAUAGUGGCAGGGGUUUCGUAACUCCCCCCCCACAGCUCUCCCGCUCCCCGCCCGACCCGGCUGACACUCCCCCCCCCCGGCUACCCGCUACCCGCCCCGUCGUGUUUUGCCUCACCCUCCAGGCUGCAGCUGAGCCGACCCUCCAGCGUCUAAACCAGGAGCGUGGGUACGAGAUGCGGCCCGAGGUGUGUACGACAGCACGGCAGUGUGGCAGCAGUAGUAGCAGAAUUAAGGGUGGCGGAAGGGGUCGGGGUUAGGAGAGGGGACGGGGCAGCCAGCAUCAACCCGCUCCCAGCCCCCCCUGUUGACCUUCUGGCGGAGACUGCCGUUUCCUCCCCUUCCGGUAAAUGCCCCUCCCCGCCCCCCGCCCCGGCCUACUUGGUGUUGCAGGACAAACCCGUGGAGGCGGGCAAGAAGCUGUGGCCCUGGUGAGGGUGAGGGUGAGGUGGUGCGAUACACAGGAGGGGCGAGGGGAGGGGAGGGGAGGGGAGCUGCGGUCUGCGGCGGUCCUUCUAGACAUGAGAGGAGAAGCAGUGCUUGAUGAGGUGGUGCAAUCCGGCAUGAGAGGAGUACGGCACGAUGAGAAGUAGGGUUAAACAAGAGGACCACGGCUUGGGUCGCGGGUGGUUGGUGGGGCUUAGGGUUUGGGAAGGAAAGUCUUCUGACGGCCUUACCAUCUUUUCUGAUUGGAAACGUUGCAGAGGGUUGUGUUUGCGGUUGUAAUAGUGGUUAUGGCAGUUAGUGGUUGUAGUGGUCUUGGCAGGGCCUUAUGAUACAUCUUCAUCUCUCUGAUGCGUAUUAUUGGUGAUGUGUCGAAAUGGCCUUCCAUACCUUACAUACAUCUGGGCGAACCGGACAGACAUGUGCGUUUUGGAGGGGAAUGUCGUCCACUGCAGCUGUGUGUGUUUAAAAAUUGAGCUGAGCACCAGAUGUACUACAUACAGGUUGAAGAAGUCUGUGUGUAUGUAUGUAUGUAUCCAUGUCUGCGUGUAUGUUGAAUGCCUUGAAAGCGAGUGUAUGUAUGUAUGUGUGCAUGUAUCGUUUCUGUUGCGCUCGAGCUUUCCGGGCCUGACGCUGGCCAGGGGCACCUAACCGUGUACCCCAAUGGGAAUGAGCGACUCCCGGGAGGAAGAGGGGCGUGAGCGAGUGUGAGGGGCCACAGUCCCCUAGUACUGCUCGACCGAGGGCGCGCGACCCACCCGGUGUCUCUCUACCUCGCUCCUGUAAUCCACCGCAAUGAUGAUGAUGAUGAAAGAACGCCCGGUAGGCCCUCUCACGACCAACCUCAGCACGCGCUGCGGCACAGCUCCGCCCCCCAGGCAGCCUUCGCACCAUUUGUACCCGGGGUGCGGCUUGGCCCACCCUGGGUGGGUCCCGGGUGCAUCACCCGGGCGGUAUGUAUGUCUGUGUAUGUGCUCUGAGGGGGAGGUGUGGCCCCAAAAGUGGCCGUACUGCUUGUUAGGAGCUGCGUGUCGCGACAGAGUCUUCCCGUUCGCGGAUUCGCCUGCUGUUAGUCCCGCUGGCCCUCGCAGUGCUCCGGUGCCCCCGGUGCUCCUGGUGCGUGUGUUCCCUUUUCUUUGGUUGGCUACUUCUCCCCGGGACCAGCCAGCCCCCCGGGGGAGGGAGGGGCGGAGGAGGUCAGUUAUCGUACGGUGUCUGCCAGGCGGGGAGGUCUUGCGGUUUCUUAGCACUCUGCGCCUUUCAUUAUUUUGUUGGAUUCGACAGGAGACCUCCCCGUCCGGGAUACCCCCAGCCGUAUUUUUCCCGUUGGGUUCUCUUUUGAGUUGGGGGGAAGAGUCAUUGGGCUUUCAGAAAGAGUCAUUGCCCUAACUGAGUCCCCAAGUGGAGGUGGGGCUCAGGCGGGACUUGAGAGCCGGUCAUGGUGUUUUAACUGCUGUGCUAUUCCGCGUCCCUGAGGGAUGGAGGUGCUGCCGGGCGGCUGGGCGGCAUAAAUGCGGUUAAGGCAGGGCCUGAGUCAGGAGGGGUCGGGGGCACGUAAGACGAGCAGCCGCGCCUUGUGCUGUGUGCUGCCGACCCUUGCGCUGUGUUUCGGCUUCGGCCCCAACCCCCCUGGCUUUCGCGGGACACAGUGUAAUCGAAAUCAUACAUUCAUGCAUGCAUACGUAGAGACAGGCAGGUGGCUGGCAGAGAGGUUAAGGCCUGACUUCUGCUCCCGGAGUGUCCCUUCAAGUUCAGCUUCCUACAUACGCGGGACGUCCCUUUGCACAUUUGCUGCGGCAAACGAGCAUCCCAACUGCUCACUCUUAACGAACCAUAACGGUGAAACUACCAACGAACACCAGCUGACCAUUUCUCCACCCUUCCCACCUGGAAGAAACAUCAACACAAGUGUGCGAUGCACGUAGAGAGACGUAUUUGGAUGCACAUACACACAGGCACAUACAUACAUUCAUACAAGUGUACUUGCGCCUGCGCCGCCACGACAACUACGGCGUCCGUAAUAGCAGGCGCCUGUCACGUGUACAUAAUCUAUUGUCUAUAACUGCAUAAGUAACCAAAACGCGGUUUGAAGGUUGGGGGCUUUGUUGGGGGCUAAUGUUUUAUCCGUACGUAUGUAUGUGUUGUUUGAGUGCAAGUUCACAGAACUCCCAGCCGCUCCUCCCAUCGCCGCUCCCACAAAAAGAAAGCGCAUAUCGCGUUGAGCAUUACGUGGGGUUCAGGAGAGCCUCCGCCCUCCCUCCCUCCCUCUUCCCCCCCCCUUCCCCCCUUCCCUCGUCCCGCCCCCCUCUUUCCCCUCCCGCCCCUCCCUCAAGGAAUCGCGAACACAAGGCCCCUCCUCUCUAAGCCACCGUCGUAUCUGUGAAUGUAAUGGAGUACGGCGGACAUAGGAUAGAAUACGGCACUCUGGGGCCUGGGGAGGGCUUGGAGUUGGGGGAGCCGCGGACGUGAAAUAACCCAUCUCCUUUCGCUGUGUCACGGGCGCGGGGGGGGGGGAGAGGGGCUGGAGACGAGCUCGGAGCUCCGUAACUUGGCGCCGCCGCCGCCGCACACCUACGUGUGAUCCCCUCGGCAGGCAACUGCACAACGAACACGCGGCAUUGUCCAGCACAGCGCAAUCUAGAACGGCACGGUGGCUCAGGGGGUCCCUAUCCGUAGUCACCUUGUGCUCCGGUGUCGCCGCUUCCGCCACUGUCACGACAAUCCCCCUAACCCUAACUGGGGCAAGACCGCGCAAUAAACACAGGCACACAGACAUACACGGAGACAGCACAGAGAACACGUAGCCCAGACCUUCCAGAACUCUGUCCUUUCUACGAAGGGAGGGGGUGUCUGUCUUCCCUUCCCCCUUCCUUACCCCGCUUUCCCCUCCCCCCUUCCCCCUUCCNNNNNNNNNNNNNNNNNNNNNNNNNNNNNNNNNNNNNNNNNNNNNNNNNNNNNNNNNNNNNNNNNNNNNNNNNNNNNNNNNNNNNNNNNNNNNNNNNNNNNNNNNNNNNNNNNNNNNNNUGACGUGGAGCGACGGAUGGGUGGAGGGGAAGGUGGAACCAGAGCAUGUGCAAACACACACAUAUACGCACACACGCACACAUAUAUAUAUGUAUAUAUAGGGCAGCAAAUCGCACUUCUUGAGCAGCAUUCAGCAAUGUCCUCCCCCGUCAACAACAUCGUUCACUCUUUCGCUUUUCCCCGCUCGCGGACGCCAAUCAUCUCACCAACCGCACCAACCGCUUCCGCCCGUGGCACCGGGCCGGGGCCGGGGCCGGGGGCGGGGGGGAAGGGAGCGGAGGGAGCGGAGGGAGAAGACGCCCCCGUUUAACCUCUACCCAAAACGUGCAUAUCCCCCCUUCCCCCCGGCAGGGGAAAAGGAUGUCGGCAAACAGAGAAACCGUGCUCGCGUCACUCACUCAUUGAUUGAUGCAGCAGCAGCAGCAGCAGCAGCAGCACACACCAGAAGAUAAUGCCCGGGGGGGCUCUAUUCAUUAUUGUAGGACAGGAUUGGACCCUUCCCCCUCCCCGUGCAGGCAAGUCGCCAUGUGACCAAUUAACGACCAACUGAACGGGGUACGGAAGUAACGACCAACAGAGCAUCAUCCAUAUGCUUAUCAUGUUUAAGGGCCGGAUGCAGGAGAGGGACCGGACAGCGAUUGGAUGCGUUUUGGAAAGCAUUGAACCAGUGGAUGAAUAAAUGGAUGCACGAGUGGAAAAGUCAGUUUGUCGAUUAGUUGAUCCUGUCCGUUCCGGUGCACAUUAGGACAUAUGGGUUGGUAUUUUCCAUGUAACGCCACCAUCACCACCAACACCACCAACCACCACCAUCAUCAUCAACAUCAUCACCAUCAUCAUUACCAUCACCAUCACCAUCUUCAUCACCAAACAUCUAAGAUUUUUGGAAACACAAAUGCUUCGGGUUGCAGCAAUAACAGCAGUAGCAGCAGAAGAACACUCAGGCUGCACAUGAGACGCGCAGGAUCAUCACAUCACCAUUAGCACCACCAUAACCAUCCUUGUCAUCAUCAUCACCAUCACCACCAUCACCACCACCAUCGCCACCAUGUCACCAUCGCCAUCACCACCACCGUCACCACCGCCAUGUGAGGUGAGAUACGGCGGCGUGUGUCGCGUUCCCCCCCCAGGUGCAUCGUGGCACGUAAUAUGCCGUACACCGCCUAGUUCCCGCGUGGUGCGCAUGAUAUGCUAUGAAUGCGCCGAGACACGGUGCAGAAAAGAAAGGGCCAGACAGGUGCCGCACAAUUGCCGUACAUGUGUCGAAGGAGGAGUUUAUUUGCAUGGCUAUGCAUGUCCAGGGGCCCCGGACAACCUGCGUCUGCGUGGCCGGCUGAAUGUAUUCGGAUGGAUGAACAGACAGACAGACAGACAGACAUGCAGAACGACAGACAGACAGACAUGCAGAACGACAGACAGACAGACAUGCAAAACGACAGACAGACAGACAGGGAUGUGUUGCACAGACACAUAACACACACGGGCGCGCGCACGCACGUAUUCGACGCACUCACUCAUUCACUUUGCUUGCCCCGCCAGGACAUUUGAGCUUCAUCCUCAGGGUGGCACGGGCUUAGCUGUACGACACAUACACACGUAGCCAUCACGCGAGCACGCACAGCACGCGUAGCAUCUUACCACCGUGGGCCGCCAGCCGGCGGACGCGCUCCCCAGGUUGAACCCGGCGUGUGUGUAUGUGUCAUGCGUGUUCACACAGGUAUGUGUCUCAUGUACAUCUCACCAACCACCUAACCACCCGCCGUACCAACCAACCAACAACCUCAGCCAGGGUCAAGCCUCCGCAAUAACAAAAUAUUAUAAACACAGCAAAGGCGCACGCUGCACGUAGCCAGUACGGACACGUCGUACAUGCCGUCCAAUCGUACGGCGGUCGUACACAAUGCCACUUCGAAUUUCAGGGAAAUUGUCGGCACAAGACGCAUUAUUGAAGUUCUUCGCCUCUGGUAUGGUGGUUGGAUGGGAACGGGGCCCCCCGGGGACAUCCAUUCAUCCGCCCGUCAUCGAAGGUGUACACGGCUCCCCCCUGCGUUCACUCAAUGGCGGCACACUCACCAACAAAAAAACUAAUAAGGGCCCCGUAAUGAUGUGGGGCCACCGUUGGACCUUCACUAGCGCCAAAACAAAGCACAAAUGGCAAAUUGGUGCAUGAGAAAUAGUGUUUAGGAUUGGCUUCUUUCAGCAACACACAUUCAGCAACACAAAUAUCUUUGAUUAUUUAUGGACACACUGGCCGUUAGCCGUUUACCCCAUCAACCCCUGAUUCUUUUCGUUCAAAAGCUUGCAGCCAAUCCAGACUAUUCAGUUAGAGGGUUAAUACGGUUAGUUAGUAGUUAGUCGUUUACUCGCUUCGUUAAUAAGGGCGCGACAGGAAAAUUUCGCACGUAGUAGUAGGCGAUCCGAUCUACCCAGCCAUCCCCCUACCUACGGCCCAGUGCAAGUUAGGUAUCCUCAAAAGCCGCCCUCCCCCUUUCCCCCCACCUCCACCUCCACCUCCCCUUCCCCCCACGUCACCAACCCACCCGCCUGCCCAGCCGAGUUAUGUCCUUCUCACCUGGCCCCACCCCGCCCGACGUUACACCCCGGCCCCCUCGUAACGCCCCAGUCUCCCCUUUAUUCUCUCUCUUCUCUCUCUUCUCUCUCUUAUCCCGCCGGCGCUGCAUCGUCAUAUAAGAAACAUGCAUGUCGCCGCAGCCACAACAAGAUAGCUCAACGAUAUUCCAACGGCAGCCCAACACCCGGUAACAAGUCAACCCAGCUAAGCUACCCAAACUAAACAACGCAGCCGCUGCAAACCCCUUCCCUCUUUCAUGCCUAUGUGGUCGUUGCAUCCACGGCCAAGAUACAACGGACAACUGUCAACUAUCCACUGUCAAAGGUCAACGGACAACGGUCAAUCCACACCACACGCGACGGCGGACAUACAAGGCCGCGGCACCGACGGCGGCGGCGGCGGCGGCGGCUUCUAGUACACACAACAAACCCCCUUCCUUGUAACGGAAAGGAAUCUAAUUCCUCCGAAUGAAGCACUAUCAUCAUUUGUCUGACGCGGGUUCCUGGGGCUUGAACUUCUUAACCAGGGAGGACAGAAGCCGCCCGCCCAGGAAGGCCUUAGCCCGAGGCCACUUGCUGCGGCUGCUGCUGCUGCUACUGCCGCUAUGGUUACUGCUCCGGACGCCGCGUGCACCGCCGCCGCCGCCGCCGGCGUUGUCACUGACGGGCGGAUCAAUCCCGUACGCCGACUCUGCCGCGGCCGGCUCGGAGAGCCGCCCGCCACGCGCCGUCGCCGCCGCCGCCGCCGUUGCCGCUGUCGCACUAAUCGGAGUGAGCUGCUCCGGCGGCCGACUGUUGUUGCUGUUGUUGUUGCUGGCCGGCAUCACGCCCGCGGAUGAAGCAGCGGGGGAGGCGACGGCAGAGGUGGCGAGUUGGAGAGUACGGCGGGAGCGGCCCGACGGCAUAUGGGGGGAGCCUGAUGGGCCUGGCGAAUGAUGAGUCAACGAAGGGGAGGAUGGCCUAGGUUGGGCGCCCAGCGCGUUCUGGAAGGGCAGCGGCGGCGGCGUUGUCGCCGCUGCCGCGGCGGCAGCUUCGAUGACCCGUGGGUCAACCCCACUGCCGCUGCGCGGCAUUCGGGGCUGGCUGCUCGGCGGCGGCCAGGGUCCAGCACGAACCCCAAGAGGAGUAUCCAUCGGGACCUGCGAGCCCGUGGCGGCGGGGGCGGCGUUGGCGGCGCCGCCGCCGCCGCUGCGUAUCCCAGCGGCGGUGGUAGCGGCGGGCCAGUCCGUGCUGCCGUCGGCUCCCAACAUCUGAAUGGCAUCGUCGCCGCCGCCACCGCCGCCAGGUUCCGUACUGCAAUCGGCGUAACUCCCAUGCCAAUUGCCGUACGUCGCAUGCAGUACUUCGCGAUCCUCUGGCAGGGAGUCGAUCAGCCCGGAAGCCCAACGGCCCAACCGUCCGCGCAUCGCUGGUGGCGGAAUCGCCGCCGCCGCCACCGCCGCCGCCGCCGGCUGUAACUGCUGAUGUGCUGCGUGGAUCGCCAUGCCGGCGGGGCUGUAGCCAGAUGCAACCCAUCCCGUCGAGCCCAGAGGAUCCAAAUCCGCGGAUUGCAGCUCCGGAUCCGUGUAACGUCCCGUGUUGACGUGGCCUUCCCGCGCCAUGUUGCCGCUGGCAAGGCGGCUACGUGCCGUUGCCGGCGUAAGCGAAGUCUGAAGCUGGAAGCCGCGCGCGCCCGACGGCGGCGUGGCGUAACCAGUCCCAAUGCUCGUACCCGGGCUGCUGCUGGCGGCACUGCCGCCGCCUGACGUCAGCGAGUGCUGGGCGCGGCUGGCGGCGGCGGCGGCAGAGCCGCCACCGUUACCUGGAAUCGGGACGGGUCCGACGACGGAGGAGAUGGUGCUUGGCGUGUUCUCUUGUGCGCGUUGCAUUCUAUUGCAGUGGUGAUGAUGGUGGUGGGGGUAGGAGGUGGGGGCGCUGGAGCCGAGAACUAGGCCGGAGGUGUCGCAGCUAGCUGCGCCAGCGGCGGCGGCGACCUGAUAGGUGUGGCAGCUCGCCGAGGACGCGACGCCGGGGUGUACGGCGGAAGCUGCUGCGGCGGCGUCGGCGCCACCGCCGCCGAUAGACGACGCACUGGCGGCUACCGCGGUGGUGGCGCUCUGAUCGUAGCGGCGGUGGUGACGGCGCAGCGCGACGGCGGCGGCGGCGGCGGCAGAGCCGCCGCCACCGCUGGCCGCGAUGGCGUCGGUGUUGGUGGCGGCGUCAGAAGGUGGCCCUGAUUCUCGUUCAGAGAAUAACAGCUCGACGGAGCGGUUUAUGUUAAUGGGGCUGUACGCGACGGAGAGGUCUGUGGUGGAUUGAAGCGCUUCGCCGAGUACGGCCGCCAUAGCCGCCGCGGGGGGAAUGCCCUCGGCGGCGGCGCGCGCCGCCGCCGUACGGCAUGGUGUGAAGCCGCUCAUGACAGCUCGCCGCCGCGGCGGCGUGCCCGCCGGCACAUCCGGCGCACCGCCGGGGGUGCCGAUCUCCGGCAAUGCGUCGUACAUGAGCUGGUUGAAUACGACCGACCCUUGACGGGAGAGCGCUGCGCGGCGGCUGCCGCCCAUGGCAGUGGCGGACGCGGCAUUGUACGGCGUUCCUCCCACGACGUAACCGCCAGUGGGCACCGAUGUACGACCAUAGUUGGUGGCGGCGGCGUAGGGUAUGCUUGAUGACGGGGUGAGGCCCGUGCCGGUGGUCGUCGUCAUGGCGUGCGUGAUGUGAUGUGUACGGCGACUCGGCAGACCAGCGUGACCGAUUGCUGGGUGCGGUAGCGUUACGCCGCCGCUGCUGCUGAUGGCGCCGUUUCCGGGACUGCGGUACAGCCCGACUUCCGUCGCAAUGGCGCAGGACACGCCGGCUGUGCGCGGGCGCAUUCCGCCCAGCACCGUCGCCGGCUUUGCCAUCGUCGCUGUCGCCUCCUGCGGCGGUGCCGCCGCCGUCGCCUGCGGCGGCGGCGGUGCCGGCGGCACCGUCAAAUAGCUGCCCACAGUCGCACGCAUGGUGUGCCUUGAAGGUGGUGCAUGCUGCGCGCCGGCGGCGUCACCGCCACCACCGCCUCCCGUGGUCCCGCCGCCGCUACUGGCGCUGGUAAGGUCUGCCGUACGCAUUACCAUUGCCGCCACACGCCGAUUCAUGGGCGUGGCCCCCGUCAGCGAACCGCCGCCGGCACCGCCGCUACCUUGACGGCCGCCGUACAGUCCGUGAUGCACACCCUGCACACCCGCAUGGGGCCCGUCUACCGGCAAUCGUCGCAACGACGCUGAGGAGCCGACUCCGACGCCAGAAGAGGUGGCGCCGGCGGCGGCUCCGCUGCCAGCGGCGGCGGCAGCGGUAGCAUUACUGGCGGCGAGCGUACUCGACGAUAUUAUGUCCCGCCGACUUGCGCCGGCAGCGGCGACGGCGUCGCCGCCGCCACCGCUCGCAGCGACUGUCAGGCCGCUGCCAACGGUCUUUGCGGCGAAGUACUCCAUGAGUUCAUCAUCAUCGCUGAUAUGGCCGUCUCCGUCGGAGAAGAUGUCUUCGGGACCGUCAGGCAGCAGGCCAAGCCCGACCGUACUCACUCCCCCGACGCCGUCGGCGGCGCCAAAACCGGCCCGUGGGUCGAUCGCCGGGUCCCCGGACAGCAGGACGUCCACGCUGGCGGCGCCGUCCCGCUGCGGGCUGAUCAGCUCAGUCUUUGACGGUGCUCUGUCACCGACGGCCGCUGCCGCCGCCACCGCAGCAACAGCAGCAGCGUCGGCAGCGCCGCCGCGGGCGGCAGGGUCGCCGCCAGGCACGGACAUUGUACCGUCCUUGCCACCGCCGCCGGCCGCGAGCUGCAGGCGUUUCGCCGCUCCAGGUUGACCUAGGGAUCCGUCCGUCCCGCCGUCACAAGUGCUUGACCUGCCGCGCACCAGCACCGCGACGCCCGCUUCCAUGUCCACCGCUGCCGAUCGACACCCUGGUCCCUCUCCCCCGCGCAUGGCGGCAUCUGCCUGUGUGUGCACGUGCCCGCGCUCAAAGUCCGGCGUACCAGGCUUUUCCUGUGUCGCCUGUACCGGCGGACGUCCAGCCACGCCAGCCGCAGUCGCCGUCGCUGCCGCCGCCGCCGUCAGCAGCGCCGCCGACGGUGUCCUGGAAAGAGGUCUGAGACGGUUGCGACUUGUUUGUUGCGUCAGUGGCGGCAACGUUAGCGGGCUUGUGCCGCUGCGCGUGUUGCUGGACCCCGUCGUCGCCGUCGUCGUCGUCGGCGGCAGCGGCGUCUGCGACGACGGCGGCGCCGUCGGCGGCGAAGGUGAUUGCGUUUGCAUGCUGCUUACGCUCGCAGUGGGGGCCGUCCGGAAAGAACCUGACGGGGCGGGCAGUGACGUCGCUGCACCGCCAGGACGAGGCGUCGGCGCCGCUGCCGCUACCGCUACCGCUGGCGGCGGCGGCGGCGGCGGCACUGCCGGCGGCAGCUGCCCAACGGCGUUGUCGAGCGAUGGCGCAGCCGGCGUUGGCAUCGACGGUACCGACAGCAGCGGCAUCAACUGGAUGCUGCCGUUGCCGCCAGGGGGUGCGGGGGGCUCCCCAAGUAGCGACGCCGCCACGGCGGACAGCAGUACGGAAGCCGCCCGUCGGGAGCUACGGCCGUCACUGCCGUCGCCGCCGAUGGCCAUAAUCCCUCGAUCCUUGCUGAUCAUCGCCUCCUGUACAAGCUCAUCUGAGCUCAUCACCUUCACGGCAACGCCACGAGAUGCCGGCGGCAUCGGCUGCUGCUGCGGCGGCGGCGGCGGAGCCGUGGGUCCCCCCGGCUGCUGCUGCGGCUGCUCUUGCGGUCUAACAGUCCGUCCCGAAGUAGUACGGCAGCGGUAACUGGGCGUGGCGUGCUCGCUGUACAAUUUGUCCAAAGGCGUGCCGGCGAUAAGCUUUGGUACCUCCAAAAAGUACGGCAUCUGCAACAGCUGCGCCGCCGUCGGCCGCUGCCGGGGAUCUAGCCGCAGACACGCCUGAGCGCCAAAAUGGAAGAAGACGAACGCGACGAAAUCAAUAUGAUUGAUUAAAAGGAAACGUAGCUACUCGCAAACAACAGUUGUUUUUGAGGCACAAGCCCGUACACUUUUCCAACACAUACGACAUACAGCCGUACAGACGUACAUACAUAAUACUUGGGAAGUUCCACCACGUCGCUAACCUCCUCGGAGUCUGCUUGCGGUACAUUGUUAUUCUGUUGUUGGAUCAUCAACCCAACCCCCGGCCGUCACUAGAGGCCGUCACGUGCCUCUCGUGUUUCAAAAACCAUUACGACACCUACAAAAGCCUGCAGACAUACAUACACACAUACACACAUGCACGCAGAACAAGACUUAACGUACAGGCAUGUACACAGACAGACAUACCUGCACCACGUCCAGCAAGCGCGCGUCUAACUCUGGCAGGCGCUGCCACAGCGACUUGCCGCGCGGCGGCGGCGGCGGCGGUUCCGGUAGCCCGGCGGCGGUGGCCGCCGCCGCGAACCUCUCCGCCUGACUAUACGGGAGGGGCCCAAGACACCUCAUGAUUCGCCACAACUGAUCCAGGGAGGAGGUUCCUGAAGGGGUGUUGGGGAGGUAUUGGUUGGCGGUGUGUAGAGGGGGUGGGGAGAUGGGGGAGAGAUGCACGCGUGUGUGUACGUGUGCGUGUGCGUGUGCGUGUGCGUGUGCGUGUGUGCGUGUGUGUAUAUGUGUGUGUGUGCCUGGGGGAGAGCAGGGGAGAGCAGGGCCUAGAACAGAAGAGCAGCACAUCUCUGGAUGCAGUAUACAUGGAUGUGUGCGUCAGGUCAGGUCAGGUCAGGUCAGGUCAGGUCAGGUCAGGCGGGCCGAAGGGAGACUUUUCAGGAGGAACAGCAUUCGUCUGAAGGGGCAUACCACUACCACUGCUGCUACUGCUACCACUGCUGCUACAUGUAACCACUGCUGCUACAUGUAACCACUGCUGCUACAUGUAGCCACUGCUGCUACUGCAGCCACUGCUGCUACUGCAGCCACUGCUGCUACUGCAGCCACUGCUGCUACUGCAGCCACUGCUGCUACUGCAGCCACUGCUGCUACUGCAGCCACUGCUGCUACUGCAGCCACUGCUGCUACUGCAGCCACUGCUGCUACUGCAGCCACUGCUGCUACUGCAGCCACUGCUGCUACUGCAGCCACUGCUGCUACUGCAGCCACUGCUGCUACUGCUGCCACUGCUGCUACUGCAGCCACUGCUGCUACUGUUACCAUUACUGCCACUGUUAUCAUUACUGGUACUGCUAUUACUGCUGCUACUGCUACCACUCACCCGGGAACAGCGGCCGACCGGUAGCAAUUUCCGCGAAAGUACAGCCCAACGACCAAAUCUGUUGAGAAAAGAGAGGAGUUGGCAGUUGGAAGUUAUAAACGGUACAGACUAGCAAAUGCCAAAUAGGGGACGACAAUAAAGAACUCGCUUAGGAGGACCACAAUGCAUACACAUAUACAUACAUUCAGGCUAGUGGCUGGCAGAGGUUAAGGCCUGACUUCUGCUCCCGAAGGUUCCGGGUUCUAUUCCAGCUGCCGACCCCUCAGUGGGUGAGAUGUGCUGAAUUGGGAAGUGGCCCCCCAUCUUGUGGACGGUAUAGGACGUGAUUAUAUCAACUUGUGAGCUGACCAGGAACUAAGUUGAGGCGCCGUUGAUCCGCUAGAAUUGGUUGGAUGCUGGUGGUGAGUUGCCGAACCCGACGAAUACACUCUGAAGUCGGAUGGGGUGAAUGGAUUAGGGUGCCCCUCUCGCAGGGGAGAGCAGGGAACUGCCUCCAAGGGAAAGGGGGCCGCUGGUGAAGCUAUACCACCCUGUAACAUUAUACAUUCAUACACAUCUCGGCUUUUGAAACCAGCCCUAGAAACCGCUUCUUGUUUCUUUGCCUGUCGUACAUUUUUAUGAACUCG
RNAcentral lists this long non-coding RNA (32360 nucleotides) under Volvox carteri. Its description in RNAcentral is "long non-coding RNA (VCAR_LNC001589)". Lineage: Eukaryota; Viridiplantae; Chlorophyta; Chlorophyceae; Chlamydomonadales; Volvocaceae. The record is from RNAcentral.